UGGGGCGUCGCCAAGUGGUUUAAGGCAUCGGCCUUUGAAGCCGACAUUCGAACGUUCGAAUCGUUCCGCCCCAGCCU
This 77-nucleotide transfer RNA is filed under the name Promineifilum breve (SeqCode). RNAcentral describes it as "Candidatus Promineofilum breve tRNA-Gln". It matches the Rfam family "tRNA". Rfam says of the family: Transfer RNA (tRNA) molecules are approximately 80 nucleotides in length. Their secondary structure includes four short double-helical elements and three loops (D, anti-codon, and T loops). The record is from RNAcentral. Lineage: Bacteria; Bacillati; Chloroflexota; Ardenticatenia; Promineifilales (SeqCode); Promineifilaceae (SeqCode).